This 253-nucleotide ribosomal RNA is filed under the name uncultured bacterium. RNAcentral's name for it is "partial 16S ribosomal RNA". It matches the Rfam family "Bacterial small subunit ribosomal RNA", at positions 524 to 776 of the family's 1533-position model. The record is from RNAcentral.
UACGAACUGCGCGAACGUUAUUCGGAAUCACUGGGCUUACAGGGUGCGUAGGCGGCGGAGAAAGUAGGGUGUGAAAUGCCUUGGCUCAACCAAGGCACAGCGCUCUAAACUACUUCGCUCGAGUGAGUCAGGGGUGCACGGAACUUCCGGUGGAGCGGUGAAAUGUGUUGAUAUCGGAAGGAACACCGGUGGCGAAAGCGGUGCACUGGGGCUCAACUGACGCUGAGGCACGAAAGCCAGGGUAGCGAACGGG